CAGCCCCUCGAGUGGUGGGGAUGAUUAUUUGGCCUAAAGCGUCCGUAGCCGGCCCUGUAAGUCCCCCGUUAAAUCCAGCGUCUCAAGCGUUGGUCUGCGGGAGAUACUGCAAGGCUAGAGGGUGGGAGAGGUAAGCGGUAUUCUGGGGGUAGGGGCGAAAUCCUUUGAUCCCCGGAGGACCACCAGUGGCGAAGGCUGCUUACUAGAACACGCCUGACGGUCAGGGACGAAAGCUGGGGUAGCGAACCGGAUUAGAUACCCGGGUAGUCCCAGCCGUAAACGAUGCAUGCUAGGUGUUGGGUUGGCCCAUGAGCCCGCCCUCAGUGCCGCAGGGAAGCCGAUAAGCAUGCCGCCUGGGGAGUACGGCCGCAAGGCUG
RNAcentral lists this ribosomal RNA (377 nucleotides) under uncultured organism. Its description in RNAcentral is "partial 16S ribosomal RNA". It matches the Rfam family "Archaeal small subunit ribosomal RNA", at positions 477 to 851 of the family's 1478-position model. The record is from RNAcentral.